GAUGAACGCUGGCGGCGUGCCUAAUACAUGCAAGUCGAGCGAACAGACGAGGAGCUUGCUCCUCUGACGUUAGCGGCGGACGGGUGAGUAACACGUGGAUAACCUACCUAUAAGACUGGGAUAACUUCGGGAAACCGGAGCUAAUACCGGAUAAUAUAUUGAACCGCAUGGUUCAAUAGUGAAAGACGGUUUUGCUGUCACUAAUAGAUGGAUCCGCGCCGCAUUAGCUAGUUGGUAAGGUAACGGCUUACCAAGGCAACGAUGCGUAGCCGAACUGAGAGGGUGAUCGGCCACACUGGAACUGAGACACGGUCCAGACUCCUACGGGAGGCAGCAGUAGGGAAUCUUCCGCAAUGGGCGAAAGCCUGACGGAGCAACGCCGCGUGAGUGAUGAAGGUCUUCGGAUCGUAAAACUCUGUUAUUAGGGAAGAACAAAUGUGUAAGUAACUAUGCACGUCUUGACGGUACCUAAUCAGAAAGCCACGGCUAACUACGUG
This 497-nucleotide ribosomal RNA is filed under the name uncultured bacterium. Its description in RNAcentral is "partial 16S ribosomal RNA". It matches the Rfam family "Bacterial small subunit ribosomal RNA", at positions 28 to 507 of the family's 1533-position model. The record is from RNAcentral.